RNAcentral lists this ribosomal RNA (446 nucleotides) under uncultured bacterium. RNAcentral's name for it is "partial 16S ribosomal RNA". It matches the Rfam family "Bacterial small subunit ribosomal RNA", at positions 329 to 792 of the family's 1533-position model. The record is from RNAcentral.
AGCCAGACUCCUACGGGAGGCAGCAGUGGGGAAUAUUGCACAAUGGGGGAAACCCUGAUGCAGCGACGCCGCGUGAGCGAUGAAGUAUUUCGGUAUGUAAAGCUCUAUCAGCAGGGAAGAAGAUGACGGUACCUGACUAAGAAGCCCCGGCUAACUACGUGCCAGCAGCCGCGGUAAUACGUAGGGGGCAAGCGUUAUCCGGAUUUACUGGGUGUAAAGGGAGCGUAGACGGCGAUGCAAGCCAGAUGUGAAAGCCCGGGGCUCAACCCCGGGACUGCAUUUGGAACUGUGUGGCUGGAGUGUCGGAGAGGCAGGCGGAAUUCCUAGUGUAGCGGUGAAAUGCGUAGAUAUUAGGCGGAACACCAGUGGCGAAGGCGGCCUGCUGGACGAUGACUGACGUUGAGGCUCGAAAGCGUGGGGAGCAAACAGGAUUAGAUACCCGCGUA